UGUCCUCUCCCUUACUAUCAUUCACGCACACUGUCCCUCUCUUCUAAUUUCAGUUUCAUUUUCUUUGUUUUGCUGCUUUAGACCCAUUUCUUUUCUUCUCCUCCUUAUUUCUCCCAAGCUACCGACCCACACUUCUCCAAUUUUCCCUUAAACUCUCCUUCAUUUCCUUUCUUGUUACAACAACCGAACCCUAUCACCAUCUUCAACUUAUCCUUCCUCUCAUCACCACCGUACCUCCUCUCUCAAUGGAGCAAGCAACCACGAGCUUCUCCUUCUUCACGUGAGCAACCGCCCCCACCUUGUGUCUCCAUCAAUGCGAGAACCAGCCUCAUUAUUCUUCUUCAUGAUGACAGCACCCAUACAACCUUGAUCUCUUCACGUUGCAGCACCACAAAUCACCAACAUCAUCAUGCUUUCCUCUCCCUCUUGCAGCCGCUGAUCACACCAUCACCAUCGCCAUGGUUUUCUCCUUAUAUGGCCAGCAAAGAAUCACCACCGCUAGCCAUAGCACCACCAACACCAUGCCAUGCUCCAAUUUCUUCUUCACCAAGAUCACCAUGUUUGAGACGUGCAAGCUUGGGACUCGAGGAAAUUGGAACGCUUGAGGAAAGGCGAAGGAGAAAGAAAUAUUGGCUAAGGCCCUAACAGGUAUGUCUCUGAGGAGCUGUUGAUUGCUGCAAGAAGGUGAUUGGACUGAUUGACGAUGAGACUUCCUUGGAGUGAGUGAACCAACCGAAGACUUGUGGAAGUAAUAGUUAGAUGUAAGGCUAGAGCCUUGGGUAGAGAAGCUUACCGUCAUUGGUUGAAGCUCGUAGGGAUGAUUGUAUUACUUACUUUGGUCUUGGGUAGGUUCUGAUGCAUUACUCUUCUGCGAAUCUCCAGUGAGGGGAUUGUAGGAAGUAUAUUGGACUUAGGGUGUUAUCGCAUUUUGAACUUUGUUGUCGGUUAAGACAUUACUUCAUUGUAUAUUUUAUGUCUUGAACAUCCGUCGUCACUCACGGGUGCUUGCCUUGACAAGGCCGGAUGUAAGGGUUUGGGUAAGAGUAUGCAUAUCAGGUUUUGGAAAUGUUUUGAGAAGAAAGCAAACAAAAAAAAAAUACCCUCUUUUAUUAAA
Molecule: long non-coding RNA, 1114 nt
Organism: Lotus japonicus
Lineage: Eukaryota; Viridiplantae; Streptophyta; Magnoliopsida; Fabales; Fabaceae
Exons: 3
Source: RefSeq, a predicted model, not a curated record